Long non-coding RNA from Paramormyrops kingsleyae, 1234 nucleotides. RefSeq lists it as uncharacterized. The record is from RefSeq and is a predicted model, not a curated record. NCBI's taxonomy places the organism in Eukaryota, Metazoa, Chordata, Actinopteri, Osteoglossiformes, Mormyridae.
UUUAUGAAAAUCCAUUCAAAUGAAGACACAUUCAAGGCAAGGACUUUGAUUCCCCUCGUCUCGCACAGGAAAUAAAGGUGAUUUACAAGCAACUGGGGAGGAAAGUGACAAAGGGAGAACGCAGCCGGCGUAGCGUGACAGGCUGCAUUUCUGAUCAUGCUAAUAAUAGCCCCAGACUCUGUCUCUCCAGCAUUGUGCUGCGAGAUAUUUAUAGGUCUGCGGGCUGCAGCCGCGGCCAGCAAAGGCACAAGGUUACGGAGGCAGCGCUCGGUCCGUGCGCAUCGCUAACCCGCACCCCUGCUAGCGGAAAUACUUCAGACCAAAAGGAAACAUGCUGUCCUAUAACAAGUGAAGAGGACAUGCUGGAUCAGAACCGGCACUGCCAUCCCAAAGCGAGAAGCCCGCCGGGCCACCUCCAGCAAGCACAAGACGAAGUUCUUCUCAUUUUUCCGCAGAACCAGGUCAUCUGUCUCGAACAUCAAGACAUCUGCAGAACAUGGAGAGUGAAUAUGCCUAAUCACGCCCACAGAUUCUGAGAUCUGUGAUAUUUCCAUGUGAUAUAUUCACAUAAAAAGGUACCCCAAAGAUGAGAUGCCAGACUGAGCACAAUAAGGGCAAUUAGAAGACACCUGCAGUAUCCAGAGGAAACCCAAACACAGCUCCCAGAGUGGGAACUGAACCCACAACAUCUGAAAUGUCGAACCACAGAAUUAUCCACUGAAUCACCAUACUAUCCCCAUAACACUGACGGUGGGCAUUUAUGCUGAAACUGUCUAUCAACUCAGAUAUACCACGUGGGACCGCAGGUUUUUGGAGCCGCCUGGUGGUCAAAUAACAGACUGCCGCAAAAGCUCUGAAGAAGAUAUAUAAGUUUCGUGUCUUGGAGCAGCGUAUGAUUAUUCACGCAAUUAACAUUAAUUAGUAAUAUUAAUUAACUCGACUAGAUUAGUUAAUCCAAAGUACAGGAUAUCUGAUGGGCCUGCAGCCAUCCAGGACCGUAUUUUAUUCAUAUUUGUUUAUAUUGUAUCUUUCGCACUAUGCAUGCAACACAAGACAACCCAAUUUUAAAGUAAAAAUUAACUGCGAAGAAGGAAACUGCACAGUAAAAUGAUCACGACAAUGCUAACAGAUGUUUUCCCCUUGAAAACCCCACGAAGUUUGUAUUCUAUCGUUUCUAAGAGACCUUCAAAGCAGUGAAAUAUAAAGUUAAUUAAAACAUAAAACAUGAACAUAA